AAGUCGUAACAAGGUUUCCGUAGGUGAACCUGCGGAAGGAUCAUUAACAAAUCAUGAAUGUGGUGUGUCUGGAAAAGGUCUGAAAGGACCCUACCCUUCACAUCCAUAUAUCAACCCGAACCUGUGCCUUUAUAGGCCAGGCUAGGUGUGGGUUGUCCUCUAUGUCCUCUUCGGAGGCUUAAGGACUGCUCGCGGUGAAGACGCAAGUCGGAUCCACAUAGACGCUUGUUUUUGUUUGACAGAUUUCAAUUGUAUCCAAAUUAAAUGACAACUUUUAACAAUGGAUCUCUUGGCUCUU
RNAcentral lists this unclassified non-coding RNA (298 nucleotides) under fungal sp. Its description in RNAcentral is "partial internal transcribed spacer region". The stretch from base 1 to 46 matches the Rfam family "Eukaryotic small subunit ribosomal RNA", at positions 1786 to 1831 of the family's 1831-position model. Lineage: Eukaryota; Fungi. The record is from RNAcentral.